UUGAACGCUGGCGGCAGGCCUAACACAUGCAAGUCGAACGGUAACAGGAAACAGCUUGCUGUUUCGCUGACGAGUGGCGGACGGGUGAGUAAUGUCUGGGAAACUGCCUGAUGGAGGGGGAUUACUACUGGAAACGGUAGCUAAUACCGCAUAACGUCGCAAGACCAAAGAGGGGGACCCUCGGGCCUCUUGCCAUCGGAUGUGCCCAGAUGGGAUUAGCUUGUUGGUGGGGUAACGGCUCACCAAGGCGACGAUCCCUAGCUGGUCUGAGAGGAUGACCAGCCACACUGGAACUGAGACACGGUCCAGACUCCUACGGGAGGCAGCAGUGGGGAAUAUUGCACAAUGGGCGCAAGCCUGAUGCAGCCAUGCCGCGUGUAUGAAGAAGGCCUUCGGGUUGUAAAGUACUUUCAGCGGGGAGGAAGGGAGUAAAGUUAAUACCUUUGCUCAUUGACGUUACCCGCAGAAGAAGCACCGGCUAACUCCGUG
RNAcentral lists this ribosomal RNA (489 nucleotides) under uncultured bacterium. RNAcentral describes it as "partial 16S ribosomal RNA". It matches the Rfam family "Bacterial small subunit ribosomal RNA", at positions 30 to 507 of the family's 1533-position model. The record is from RNAcentral.